UUGUCUCUCUAGCUGCAUAUG
This 21-nucleotide unclassified non-coding RNA is filed under the name Mus musculus (house mouse). Its description in RNAcentral is "oocyte_clustered_small_RNA12431". Lineage: Eukaryota; Metazoa; Chordata; Mammalia; Rodentia; Muridae. The record is from RNAcentral.